RNAcentral lists this ribosomal RNA (893 nucleotides) under Fusarium sambucinum. RNAcentral's name for it is "LSU rRNA". It matches the Rfam family "Eukaryotic large subunit ribosomal RNA", at positions 38 to 960 of the family's 3401-position model. The record is from RNAcentral. Lineage: Eukaryota; Fungi; Ascomycota; Sordariomycetes; Hypocreales; Nectriaceae.
GCAUAUCAAUAAGCGGAGGAAAAGAAACCAACAGGGAUUGCCCUAGUAACGGCGAGUGAAGCGGCAACAGCUCAAAUUUGAAAUCUGGCUUUCGGGCCCGAGUUGUAAUUUGUAGAGGAUACUUUUGAUGCGGUGCCUUCCGAGUUCCCUGGAACGGGACGCCAUAGAGGGUGAGAGCCCCGUCUGGUUGGAUGCCAAAUCUCUGUAAAGUUCCUUCGACGAGUCGAGUAGUUUGGGAAUGCUGCUCUAAAUGGGAGGUAUAUGUCUUCUAAAGCUAAAUAUUGGCCAGAGACCGAUAGCGCACAAGUAGAGUGAUCGAAAGAUGAAAAGCACUUUGAAAAGAGAGUUAAAAAGUACGUGAAAUUGUUGAAAGGGAAGCGUUUAUGACCAGACUUGGACUUGGUUAAUCAUCUGGGGUUCUCCCCAGUGCACUUUUCCAGUUCAGGCCAGCAUCAGUUUUCGCCGGGGGAUAAAGGCAGCGGGAAUGUGGCUCUCUUCGGGGAGUGUUAUAGCCCGUUGUGUAAUACCCUGGUGGGGACUGAGGUUCGCGCUUCUGCAAGGAUGCUGGCGUAAUGGUCAUCAACGACCCGUCUUGAAACACGGACCAAGGAGUCGUCUUCGUAUGCGAGUGUUCGGGUGUCAAACCCCUACGCGUAAUGAAAGUGAACGCAGGUGAGAGCUUCGGCGCAUCAUCGACCGAUCCUGAUGUUCUCGGAUGGAUUUGAGUAAGAGCAUACGGGGCCGGACCCGAAAGAAGGUGAACUAUGCCUGUAUAGGGUGAAGCCAGAGGAAACUCUGGUGGAGGCUCGCAGCGGUUCUGACGUGCAAAUCGAUCGUCAAAUAUGGGCAUGGGGGGCGAAAGACUAAUCGAACCUUCUAGUAUCUGGGUUCCG